RNAcentral lists this ribosomal RNA (479 nucleotides) under uncultured bacterium. RNAcentral's name for it is "partial 16S ribosomal RNA". It matches the Rfam family "Bacterial small subunit ribosomal RNA", at positions 28 to 507 of the family's 1533-position model. The record is from RNAcentral.
GAUGAACGCUGGCGGCGUGCUUAACACAUGCAAGUCGAGCGAGAAGUUUUGAAAAGAUUCUUCGGAUGAAAUUUAAAAUGGAAAGCGGCGGACGGGUGAGUAACGCGUAGGCAACCUGCCCCAUACAAAGGGAUAGCAUUUGGAAACGAAUAUUAAUACCUUAUGAAACUUAACUAGUGCAUGCUAGGUAGGUCAAAGAUUUAUCGGUAUGGGAUGGGCCUGCGUCUGAUUAGCUAGUUGGUGAGGUAACGGCUCACCAAGGCGACGAUCAGUAGCCGACCUGAGAGGGUGAACGGCCACAUUGGAACUGAGACACGGUCCAAACUCCUACGGGAGGCAGCAGUGGGGAAUAUUGCACAAUGGGGGAAACCCUGAUGCAGCAACGCCGCGUGAACGAUGAAGGCCUUUGGGGCGUAAAGUUCUGUUCUAGGUGAUGAAAACUGACAGUAACCUAGGAGAAAGCCCCGGCUAACUCCGUG